RNAcentral lists this transfer RNA (73 nucleotides) under uncultured Acidobacteriales bacterium HF0200_23L05. Its description in RNAcentral is "tRNA-Ala". It matches the Rfam family "tRNA". From Rfam's summary of the family: Transfer RNA (tRNA) molecules are approximately 80 nucleotides in length. Their secondary structure includes four short double-helical elements and three loops (D, anti-codon, and T loops). Further hydrogen bonds mediate the characteristic L-shaped molecular structure. tRNAs have two regions of fundamental functional importance: the anti-codon, which is responsible for specific mRNA codon recognition, and the 3' end, to which the tRNAs corresponding amino acid is attached (by aminoacyl-tRNA synthetases). tRNAs cope with the degeneracy of the genetic code in two manners: having more than one tRNA (with a specific anti-codon) for a particular amino acid; and 'wobble' base-pairing, i.e. permitting non-standard base-pairing at the 3rd anti-codon position. Lineage: Bacteria; Pseudomonadati; Acidobacteriota; Terriglobia; Terriglobales. The record is from RNAcentral.
GGGGGAUUAGCUCAGCUGGGAGAGCGCCUGGUUUGCAACCAGGAGGUCACCGGUUCGAGCCCGGUAUUCUCCA